CCUACGGGAGGCAGCAGUGAGGAAUAUUGGUCAAUGGCCGGAAGGCUGAACCAGCCAAGUCGCGUGAGGGACGACUGCCCUAUGGGUUGUAAACCUCUUUUAUAAGGGAAGAAUAAAUGCUACGUUUAGCAUGAUGCCUGUACCUUAUGAAUAAGCAUCGGCUAACUCCGUGCCAGCAGCCGCGGUAAUACGGAGGAUGCUAGCGUUAUCCGGAUUUAUUGGGUUAAAAGGGUGCGUAGGUGGUUUUUUAAGUUAGUGGUUAAACGUCGGGGCUUCACGUUGAUUUGCCAUUAAUACUGUAAGACUCGAGUGCAGACGGGGUAGGCGGAAUAAGUAAAGUAGCGGUGACAGGCUUAGAUAUAA
This 363-nucleotide ribosomal RNA is filed under the name uncultured bacterium. RNAcentral describes it as "partial 16S ribosomal RNA". It matches the Rfam family "Bacterial small subunit ribosomal RNA", at positions 338 to 699 of the family's 1533-position model. The record is from RNAcentral.